RNAcentral lists this ribosomal RNA (253 nucleotides) under uncultured bacterium. Its description in RNAcentral is "partial 16S ribosomal RNA". It matches the Rfam family "Bacterial small subunit ribosomal RNA", at positions 524 to 776 of the family's 1533-position model. The record is from RNAcentral.
UACGGAGGGUGCAAGCGUUAUCCGGAUUCACUGGGCUUAAAGGGUGCGUAGGUGGGUUGGUAAGUCAGUGGUGAAAUCUCCAGGCUUAACUUGGAAACUGCCAUUGAUACUAUCAAUCUUGAAUACCGUGGAGGUCAGCGGAAUAUGUCAUGUAGCGGUGAAAUGCUUAGAUAUGACAUAGAACACCAAUUGCGAAGGCAGCUGGCUACACGAAUAUUGACACUGAUGCACGAAAGCGUGGGGAGCAAACAGG